GAUGAACGCUGGCGGCGUGCUUAACACAUGCAAGUCGAACGGAAAGGCUCCUGCUUGCAGGGGUACUCGAGUGGCGAACGGGUGAGUAACACGUGGGUGAUCUGCCCAGCACUUCGGGAUAAGCCUGGGAAACUGGGUCUAAUACCGGAUAGGACGAUGGUUUGGAUGCCAUUGUGGAAAGUUUUUUCGGUGUGGGAUGAGCUCGCGGCCUAUCAGCUUGUUGGUGGGGUAAUGGCCUACCAAGGCGUCGACGGGUAGCCGGCCUGAGAGGGUGUACGGCCACAUUGGGACUGAGAUACGGCCCAGGCUCCUACGGGAGGCAGCAGUGGGGAAUAUUGCACAAUGGGCGGAAGCCUGAUGCAGCGACGCCGCGUGGGGGAUGACGGCCUUCGGGUUGUAAACUCCUUUCGCUAGGGACGAAGCGCAAGUGACGGUACCUGGAGAAGAAGCACCGGCUAACUACGUG
RNAcentral lists this ribosomal RNA (466 nucleotides) under uncultured bacterium. RNAcentral's name for it is "partial 16S ribosomal RNA". It matches the Rfam family "Bacterial small subunit ribosomal RNA", at positions 28 to 507 of the family's 1533-position model. The record is from RNAcentral.